Molecule: small nuclear RNA, 106 nt
Organism: Phyllostomus discolor (pale spear-nosed bat)
Lineage: Eukaryota; Metazoa; Chordata; Mammalia; Chiroptera; Phyllostomidae
Source: RefSeq, a predicted model, not a curated record
GUGCUCGCUUUGGCAGCACAUAGGCCAAAAUUGGAACGACACAGAGACGAUUAGUGCGGCCCUGCGCAAGGAUGACGCGCAAAUUCCUGAAGCGUUCCAUAUUAAA